This 253-nucleotide ribosomal RNA is filed under the name uncultured bacterium. Its description in RNAcentral is "partial 16S ribosomal RNA". It matches the Rfam family "Bacterial small subunit ribosomal RNA", at positions 524 to 776 of the family's 1533-position model. The record is from RNAcentral.
UACGUAGGGGGCAAGCGUUGUCCGGAUUUAUUGGGCGUAAAGAGCGUGUAGGCGGCCAGGGAGGUCCGUUGUGAAAACUCGAGGCUCAACCUCGAGACGCCGAUGGAAACCCCCUGGCUAGAGUCCGGAAGAGGAGAAUGGAAUUCCUGGUGUAGCGGUGAAAUGCGCAGAUAUCAGGAGGAACAUCCGUGGCGAAGGCGGCUCUCUGGGACGGUACUGACGCUGAGACGCGAAAGCGUGGGGAGCGAACAGG